CAGGCACCCCAAUUCUGCUGCCGCCGUUGUCUCUGCCACGCAUGCGUGACAAAGGGAUAACCCAGCCGCACACAGAAGUGUGGGGCUGACUUUCCGCCCAUCUCCGAGUUGGUGACUUAGACACAAUCUUUACGACACUUCUCGUUUCCUGGGUGUUGCCAGCUGAGUCCCGGAACCCAGUCCUGUCGAUCUUCUCGUGGAUCCUCAGAACCAGUAGGAGGCAGACGGCAGAGGUGGCAGAGGUGUGGGAGGCAGGAAGGAAAUGAUGGCAAACACACAACUCUGCAUCCCUUCCCCUCAAUUCACCCUCACAACAAGCGCCUGAGAGGGCUUUCCUUGCCCGUUUUCUGACUGGGGAACUGAGGCUCAAAGAGGUGGUGUUGAUGCUGCUGUCUGGGGGACCCCACUCUGACAACCGUGGCUCUGGGGGUCGAAGAAGGUGCACCUGCCUGUCUCCCAGGACUGCAGGGGCAGUUGACCACUCGAGAGAGCAGGUGUAGGAUGGGCCUUGGGACCAGUGGGCCUCAACCUUGGCUACACGUGGAAGGAGGAGUUUGCCAGUUCUACGAACAAAACUGGGCCCCUCCCCCUGGUCUAACAGAUGACUAUUAGAUGUGUAAGCCCUUUCCUGCACGGACGCUGCUUCGUGAAAAGCUUAAACUGCAUCAGAUUGCAGACCUCGGAGCAGCUCCCCAGAACGCUCUGUUGGAGUAUUUCCUAGGUCUCAAGUUCCUCACCUUGAUUAUCAAAUAAACUCCUCUAAUCAACCUC
Molecule: long non-coding RNA, 771 nt
Filed under: Equus asinus (donkey)
Lineage: Eukaryota; Metazoa; Chordata; Mammalia; Perissodactyla; Equidae
Description: lncRNA (ENSEASG00005031501.1)
Source: RNAcentral